GACGAGGGGUCCUAGCGUUGCUCGGAAUCAUUGGGCGUAAAGCGGGUGUAGGCGGCUAUGUAAGUCAGGAGUGAAAGCCCUGGGCUCAACCCGGGAAGUGCUUUUGAUACUGCAUAGCUUGAGUGUGGGAGAGGGCAGUGGAAUUCCUGGUGUAGUGGUGAAAUACGUAGAUAUCAGGAGGAACACCGGUGGCGAAGGCGGCUGCCUGGCCCAACACUGACGCUCAGACCCGAAAGCGUGGGGAGCAAACAGG
Molecule: unclassified non-coding RNA, 253 nt
Filed under: Clostridiaceae bacterium
Lineage: Bacteria; Bacillati; Bacillota; Clostridia; Eubacteriales; Clostridiaceae
Also listed under: 1 other name
Description: partial 16S ribosomal RNA
Rfam family: Bacterial small subunit ribosomal RNA
Source: RNAcentral